RNAcentral lists this unclassified non-coding RNA (527 nucleotides) under Hevea brasiliensis (rubber tree). The record is from RNAcentral. Lineage: Eukaryota; Viridiplantae; Streptophyta; Magnoliopsida; Malpighiales; Euphorbiaceae.
AUUUACACAUUGAUACUUGUUCGUGCACUUCCAUAAGAAAAUAUUGUAACAAACAUCAAACACUAAGCUAUAAUAAGCGUCUUCACUAUCUCCCAAGCUCAUAAUAACACUUGACUAUGCAGAUAGAGGCUCAAAGCUAUAUAAUGCUACUCGCCUAAACUAAGUCAAAUAGCCAAUGCUUGGAACGAAAGAUCCAAUGUGGCAGUCAAAAGUAUCUACGCUCGGUCAAAGGGUUUAACUGAGCAAGAGUCUGCUCAGACCGAACAAGAUCAAGCCGAGCAGCAUAUAACAGAACGAUAGGAGAUGCAGUGUUAAUGCUCGCCUGCCACGCCUAGCAUCAUAUAAACCAAGCAGCAACAUUGCCAAGUUAAGAUUAAAUCCUAAUUUAUAGAAAAGUAUCUCGAGAUAUAAACCCAAUUUCCGAGAUUGUGGCAAAUAGCUAUAAUAGUUAUUUUGCUUAACACCAUAAAUAUUAGAAAUUGCCAUUAACCAAGGACGAAACUCAGCCAAAUUUACCAUUCAAUUGC